This 271-nucleotide ribosomal RNA is filed under the name uncultured bacterium. Its description in RNAcentral is "partial 16S ribosomal RNA". It matches the Rfam family "Bacterial small subunit ribosomal RNA", at positions 524 to 794 of the family's 1533-position model. The record is from RNAcentral.
UACGGAGGGGGCUAGCGUUGUUCGGAAUUACUGGGCGUAAAGCGCGCGCAGGCGGCCGAGCAAGUCGGAUGUGAAAACCCGGGGCUCAACCCCGGGCCUGCAUUCGAUACUGCCGGGCUCGAGGCAGGCAGGGGAGAUUGGAAUUCCCGGUGUAGCGGUGAAAUGCGCAGAUAUCGGGAGGAACACCGGUGGCGAAGGCGGAUCUCUGGGCCUGUCCUGACGCUCAGGCGCGAAAGCUGGGGGAGCGAACAGGAUUAGAAACCCUGGUAGU